GGAGAGCUGAGCACUCUGGCGAGACUGCCGCCGACAAGGCGGAGGAAGGUGGGGAGUGACGUCAAGUCAUCAUGGCCUUUACUGCCCAGGGCUACACACGUGCUACAAUGGCCGGCACAGACGGCAGCUUAGUGGCGACACUUGGCAAAUCCUCUAAAGCCGGUCCCAGUUCGGAUUGCAGUCUGCAACUCGACUGCAUGAAGCCGGAAUCGCUAGUAAUCGCAGAUCAGCCAAGCUGCGGUGAAUACGUUCCCGGGCCUU
RNAcentral lists this ribosomal RNA (261 nucleotides) under uncultured Synergistaceae bacterium. RNAcentral's name for it is "partial 16S ribosomal RNA". It matches the Rfam family "Bacterial small subunit ribosomal RNA", at positions 1125 to 1382 of the family's 1533-position model. Lineage: Bacteria; Thermotogati; Synergistota; Synergistia; Synergistales; Synergistaceae. The record is from RNAcentral.